CUACGGGAGGCAGCAGUGGGGAAUAUUGGACAAUGGGGGAAACCCUGAUCCAGCAAUGCCGCGUGUGUGAAGAAGGCCUGCGGGUUGUAAAGCACUUUCGGUUGGGAGGACUGCUUCUAGCACUAAUAUUGUUGGAAGUUGACGUUACCUUCAGAAGAAGCACCGGCUAACUCCGUGCCAGCAGCCGCGGUAAUACGGAGGGUGCAAGCGUGAAUCGGAAUUACUGGGCGUAAAGCGCGCGUAGGCGGCUAGAUCAGUCGGGUGUGAAAGCCCCGGGCUUAACCUGGGAACUGCAUCCGAUACUGUCUAGCUUGAGUACAGGAGAGGAGAGUGGAAUGCCACAUGUAGCGGUGAAAUGCGUAGAUAUGUGGAGGAACACCAAUGGCGAAGGCAGCUCUCUGGCCUGAUACUGACGCUGAGGUGCGAAAGCGUGGGGAGCAAACAGGAUUAGAUACCCUAGUAGUC
Molecule: ribosomal RNA, 465 nt
Filed under: uncultured bacterium
Lineage: Bacteria
Description: partial 16S ribosomal RNA
Rfam family: Bacterial small subunit ribosomal RNA
Source: RNAcentral